This is a non-coding RNA of Potamilus streckersoni, 75 nucleotides long. NCBI's taxonomy places the organism in Eukaryota, Metazoa, Mollusca, Bivalvia, Unionida, Unionidae. The record is from the annotation of a GenBank genome assembly.
GACCGCUUGGUGGCCUAGUGGUUUAGCGUCCGCCUCAGAUGUGGGAGGUAUCCGGUUCGAUCCCUGGCUAAGUCA